RNAcentral lists this ribosomal RNA (428 nucleotides) under uncultured bacterium. Its description in RNAcentral is "partial 16S ribosomal RNA". It matches the Rfam family "Bacterial small subunit ribosomal RNA", at positions 354 to 796 of the family's 1533-position model. The record is from RNAcentral.
GUAGGGAAUAUUGCGCAAUGGACGAAAGUCUGACGCAGCGACGCCGCGUGAGUGAUGAAGGCCUUAGGGUCGUAAAGCUCUGUUGAAUGGGAAGAAAAAAAUGACGGUACCAUUCGAGGAAGGACCGGCUAACUUCGUGCCAGCAGCCGCGGUAAUACGAGGGGUCCUAGCGUUGUUCGGAAUCAUUGGGCGUAAAGGGUGUGUAGGUGGCCAUGUAAGUCAGGUGUGAAAACCCCGGGCUCAACCCGGGAAGUGCACUUGAUACUGCGUGGCUUGAGUACCGAAGAGGGUAGUGGAAUUCCAGGUGUAGUGGUGAAAUACGUAGAUAUCUGGAGGAACACCGGUGGCGAAGGCGGCUACCUGGUCGAGUACUGACACUGAGACACGAAAGCAUGGGGAUCAAACAGGAUUAGAUACCCCAGUAGUCC